GCAGCUACAUCACAGUGAAACACUUGUUCCCAUACAAUCACCCAAGUUAAACAAUGUUGAGCCUGGUCAGUACCUAGAUGGGUGACCACUUGGGAAUACCAGGUUCUGUAAG
Non-coding RNA from Acanthosepion pharaonis, 112 nucleotides. The record is from the annotation of a GenBank genome assembly. NCBI's taxonomy places the organism in Eukaryota, Metazoa, Mollusca, Cephalopoda, Sepiida, Sepiidae.